Molecule: ribosomal RNA, 483 nt
Filed under: uncultured bacterium
Lineage: Bacteria
Description: partial 16S ribosomal RNA
Rfam family: Bacterial small subunit ribosomal RNA
Source: RNAcentral
GACGAACGCUGGCGGCGUGCUUAACACAUGCAAGUCGAAGGGAAAGGCUCCAGCUUGCUGGAGUACUCGAGUGGCGAACGGGUGAGUAACACGUGGGUAAUCUGCCCUGCACUCUGGGAUAAGCCUGGGAAACUGGGUCUAAUACUGGAUAUGACCUUUCUCCUUAUGGGGUUUGGUGGAAAGUCUUUCGGUGUAGGAUGAGCCCGCGGCCUAUCAGCUUGUUGGUGGGGUGAUGGCCUACCAAGGCGACGACGGGUAGCCGGCCUGAGAGGGGGAUCGGCCACAUUGGGACUGAUAUACGGCCCAGACGCCUGAGGGGGGCAGCAGUGGGGCAUAUUGCACAAAGGGCGGAAGCCUGGUGCAGCGACGCCGCGUGAGGGAUGACGGCCUUCGGGUUGUAAACCUCUUUCAGCAGGGACGGAGCGUAAGUGACGGUACCUGCAGAAGAAGCACCGGCUAACUACGUGCCAGCCGCCGCAGUAA